UACGUAGGUGGCAAGCGAUACUCGGAAUCACUAGGCGUAAAGCGCAGGUAGGCGGUUUGGUAAGUCUUUUGUGAAAGCUCCCGGCUCAACUGGGAGAGGUCAAGGGAAACUACCAGGCUAGAGUGUGGUAGGGGAUACUGGAAUUCCUGGUGUAGCGGUGAAAUGCGUAGAUAUCAGGAGGAAUACCUAUGGCGAAAGCAGGUAUCUGGGCCAUCACUGACGCUGAGCUGCGAAAGCUAGGGGAGCAAACAGG
RNAcentral lists this ribosomal RNA (253 nucleotides) under uncultured bacterium. Its description in RNAcentral is "partial 16S ribosomal RNA". It matches the Rfam family "Bacterial small subunit ribosomal RNA", at positions 524 to 776 of the family's 1533-position model. The record is from RNAcentral.